RNAcentral lists this ribosomal RNA (1926 nucleotides) under Triticum aestivum (bread wheat). Its description in RNAcentral is "partial small subunit ribosomal RNA". Lineage: Eukaryota; Viridiplantae; Streptophyta; Magnoliopsida; Poales; Poaceae. The record is from RNAcentral.
AUGGCGCUGGCGACAACAAAGACCAGUUCGUCUACUCUGGAUUCACCGGCGCGCCCCUCUCGCUGGACGGCACUGCCAGCGUCACCGAACGGCCUCCUCGAGCUGACCAAUGGCACGAUCCACCUCAAGGGCCAUGCGGUUCACCCAACGCCGCUGCGUCUGAAGAGGUCACCAGGAGGCGCCGUGCGGUCCUUCUCCACGUGGUUCGUCUUCGGCAUCCGCACCAACUACCCUGAGCUGAACCUGAGCGGCCACGGUAUCGUCUUCUUCAUCGGGACCAAGAACUUCUCGACGGCUUUCCCGGGUCCGUACCUGGGCCUCCUCAACGACCGGAACAACGGCAACACAACCAACCAUGUCUUUGGCGUCGAGCUCGACACCAUAAUGACCACCGAGUUUCGCGACCCGGACAACAACCAUGUCGGCAUAGACAUCAAUGGCCUCCAUUCCGUUGCUGUCCAUGCCGCUGGCUAUCACGACGACAAGACCGGUGCUUUCCGGGACCUGUUACUGAUCAGCGGCAAGGCCAUGCAAGUCUGGGUGGACUACCACGGGGAAUCCACGCAGAUCAACGUGUUCUUGGCCCCCCUGGAGAUGGCCAAGCCUGCAAGGCCGCUAGUAUCUUCCAUGUACAACCUCUCACAAGUGCUGCUGGAGCCAUCAUUUCUUGGGUUCUCGUCGUCCACGGGCUCGAUGAUCAGCUCUCGCCACUACGUGCUGGGUUGGAGCUUUGCCAUGGAUGGACCUGCUCCAGCCAUUGACAUCAGCAAGCUGCCCAAGUUGCCAGAGAAGGUCUCCAAGAAACAGCACUGGGUAUUGGGUAUCACUCUGUCAACAGCCAUCAUAGUGUUCGCCCUCCGAGUGGUUUCAAUCAUGGUCUUGCUUAUUCGAAGGCGUAUAAAGUACGCCGAGGUGAGAGAGGACUGGGAGGUUGAGUUUGGUCCACACAGAUUCUCCUACAAGGAUCUGUACCGUGCAACGGAAGGUUUCAAGAGCAAAAUGUUGCUUGGCACCGGUGGAUUUGGGGGUGUGUACAAAGGAGUGCUUCCCAACUCUAAGAUGGAGAUCGCGGUGAAGAAAGUGUCACAUGAUUCAAGUCAAGGAAUAAAGGAGUUCAUCGCGGAGGUGGUCACCGUUGGCCGUCUCCGCCACCGCCACCUUGUUCAGCUUCUGGGUUACUGCCGGCGAAAUGGUGAGCUCCUCCUGGUCUACAACUUCAUGCCAAAUGGCAGCCUUGAUCAGUACCUGUAUGACCCCAAGUGUAAGAAUACACUACACUGGGCCCAGAGGUUCCAAAUCAUCAAAGGCAUCGCAUCCAGCUUGUUGUACAUCCAUGAGGAAUUCGAGCAGGUUGUCAUACACCGUGACAUCAAGGCGAGCAAUGUUCUCCUGGAUAGUGAGAUGAACGGAAGGCUGGGUGACUUCGGUCUCGCAAAACUGUGUGAUCAUGGUGCAGAUCCACAGACAACGCACAUAAUUGGCACGAUGGGGUACCUAGCCCCUGAGUUAGCGCGCACGGGGAAGGCGUCUCCUAUCACCGAUGUGUUUGCCUUUGGUGCAUUCGUUCUUGAAGUCGUCUGCGGGCGGAGACCUAUUGACCAAGCCAUGCAGGACAACCGGCGCAUAUUGGUCGACUGGGUGCUCGAGCAUUGGCAAAAGGAAGCACUCAUGGAGGUAGUUGAUGCACGGCUCCACGGCAACUAUGACGCUGAUGAGGCGAUACUUGUAUCAAAAAUAGGAUUGCUGUGCUCGCAUCCCGUCCCUAGUGCAAGGCCUACCAUGCGGCAAGUGAUGCAGUAUCUUGAUGGAGACAUGGCAUUCCCGGAGCCAACACUUUCACAGAUGAGCUUUAGUAUGCUAGCACUUAUGCAAAGUGAAGCGUCGAUGAGUAUGUCCAUGGUAAGUGGCCUCUCUGGAGGGAGAUGA